UGCAACAGCAAGUUACUGAAGUAAAUGUGAUUUAAAUACUCCAGUACUCUCCAGUAAAUAAAUGUGAGACCACUGUAUGCCUCGAGAAAGGGACCGCUUGAGUGGGAACUUGUUUAUGAUGGUACAAUGGUUUCUCAGUGGUGCAAAAAGGUGUUCUCCCAAUUCUCACGGCACAUGCAAAGGCAGAACACAACAGCAGAAUGAGGAUUAUUGCUGCAAUUGGUUUACUCCUGAUGUCUGUGCACAUUGGAAGCUCCUUGCUGAUCGGAGCAUUUAACAUCAAAUCCUUCAGCGACACAAAAGUAGUGCAACGAUAUUACAUUGUGCUCAUUCAAGAGGUGAGGGACAGCGAUCUCACUGCAAC
Long non-coding RNA from Myxocyprinus asiaticus (Chinese sucker), 364 nucleotides. RefSeq lists it as uncharacterized. NCBI's taxonomy places the organism in Eukaryota, Metazoa, Chordata, Actinopteri, Cypriniformes, Catostomidae. The record is from RefSeq and is a predicted model, not a curated record. The transcript has 3 exons.